UUUAUAACAAAAAUAUUAUUUUCAGAUAUCAACACAAUAUAUAUAUGUAUAUUAAUUAUCUUAUUUUUUAAUAUGCUUUUAAAAAUUAUAUAUUUUUUUUUGAUAAUUUAUUUAAUAUUUAUAUAAAAUAUAAAUUUAAUCUUAUUAAAAUAAAAUUCAUUUUAAUUUAUACAUAAAUUUGUUUAAGGGUAUUAUUUAAAUUAAUAAAUUUGAUUAACUUCACAUAAAUUUUACCACAAGAAGAUUCUUCGGGUGAAGAUACCGAGAAGUCAGAAGCCUCUGGGGAAGAUAAUGCUACCAAGUCUAGUUGUUCUAAUAGUGAAAAUCUGCGGAAGAUAAUGCUAUCGAGUGAUUAACUUAACAAUUGUUUUUAUAUGGAUGUAGUUUGUUUUAAAUACUCUAUCAAAAAGUUAUUUUCAGAUUGUCUCAUUUUAAUUAUUAUAAUAUAUUAUCAUUGUGUUUUUUUUUUGUUUAACAUAAAUACAUAUUAUCAUUGUGUUUUUUUUUUGUUUAACAUAAAUACAUUUUCAUUGUCUUAUGUGGUUGACCAAUUUCUUCACAUAUAAUUUGAAAUAUGAGUAAUGUAUAUUUGGUUUAAAUGUUUUCAUUUGACUUAUUUUGUAGUAUUGUUUCUCUUCAUGUGAUUUAUAAUUUAUUUAAUAUUUGAUUGGAUACAAUAACUUUAUAUUUUCACUUUAUAUCAUUCAUUUCUUUACAAUUUUUCAGAGUUUUCUUGAUAUUCACCUAUAAUUAUUUUUAAUGCUUGUAUUUGAGCUAUUUUAAAUUCUUAAUUUUAAUUAAUUAUUACUUUUUCAUUGUGGUUUCUUUUAAUUUCUUUUAAAUUUCUCUUUGAUUGAGUUGAUUUCAGAUAAGAGAAAUAAUCAAUGAGAUACACUACUUUUAGCCAAAUUUAUAAGUCGUCCAUUCUAAUAUUCAAUCUACAUAAUCAUUAAGGAAAACAUCAAUAUUCUAUAUGCCAUCUUACACAUCUGCCUACUAAUAAUUAAUACCAUGGUUAGCCAUUAGAUGCAAAUUAUCUAAUGAUUUUUUUAACACAGCAAACAGGUAAUGAUUAUCACUUAAUAUUAGUACUUUGUAAGAGAAAUAAUUUAUACUAUACUAGUAAUUUGUAAAAUAAAUAAUUUAUAUUAUGUUGUACGAUUAGUAAAAUAUAAUAUGCUUCACACUGCAGGAUUAGCAAGUUGUAGUAACAGCAAUUAUAUUUUUUAUAUAUAAUAAAAGUAAUAACCAAAUCAUUCAUCACUUCCUUAAGAUGAGAUUAGAUCCUCGGAAUCAAACACAACCCCCAAAAAAAACAUCUGUGUUUCCAAAUCUCCACUCUGUUCUUCAAGUUUUAUUCUCAUAUUCUCUAAUGGAGCUAUGCGGUUCAGGGAUCAACAAGGAACAUCAAAUGUGUUCGAAGACUUUUGGCUAUGAACGGAUCAAAGAUCUUUCUGAAAAUGUCUUCAGGUUGAAGAAGAUCUCAAGAUGGAGAUUGAUGUGGAGAAAGAUAAUGAUGGGGAUGAAGCACAAAAAGAAAGAUCAGGUUCUUGAUCAUUGUUUUCGAUAUGAUCCUUUCACUUAUUCGCAAAACUUUGAGAAUGAUGGAACCAUCGCAUAUCACGAAGAUCCUGAUGUUUCUUCUAAGUCUUUUUCAGCUCGAUUUGUUUCUUCUUCUAAAGUUUUCAGUGUAAACUAUGUUUGAGUUUCUUCAUGGUAAUCAAUUUUGGUUUUCAAGUGUUUAUAUAUUUUUAACAUCAUUUUGCGAAUGCAAGCAACAAAUCAUAGCUAAUCAUGUGACUCAUUAGUGGCUAAUGCCACAAGAAAAGGCGAUGAUUACGUGUAGUCACGUGCUGCUAAGUCACUGCCAAGUUACAAAGAUCUUGUGUUGCUGUACAUGAUCCACAUUGCCAAAGAGAUUCAAGUAUUGAUGAAUGCAUCAUACACAAAGCCUUUCUCUUUCAUCUCUCUCAUCAUCUUGCAGCCUCCUCAAACAUUCCAACGGAGCAGAUAUGUAUGUACACCAUGGCGAAUAAAUCGAUAGAGUCGCAGUCGGAGUUGAAGAAACGCACGUGAGCGAGCAUAACGAGUUUUCUUAAAAAGAAUGAGAGGAUAAACAAUACGUGGCUACCUUUCAUUGGUUAGUAUCUAAGCAAAGACCGAACAAUUCGAAAAAAAUUACAGAAACUGCCACUGUCCGAAAGAAAAAUGUUCGAUUCCGGAAUUCCUUUCGUGUUUUUUUUUUGAGAACUGUGAAUUUAGAUUACUUGAGAAAUCCAAGGAUGUGGUCUGCACAAGUCACUAGACAACACAAAGGUCUCUCUUGAAUUGUCUUGGGAUAUUUAGUGCUGGUGUUCUUGGUGCACUCUAUGCGCUGGCUCGGGAAGAUACCAAAGCCUGCUGAGGAAACCAUCGUCUCUGAAAGAGGAGGAGAUUCAGCAGAUGAAGGAAAAGCUUGAUCAUGUGCUAAAGAAUGUAAAUGAGAGUAAAGACAAAGUUGCUGAACUUACUGAGAAGAACAGAAGACUCGAAGAGGAUGCUGGAUAUAGUACUCACUAGUGUACUAAACUUGAAAGAUGAACUUGAAGGAACGAAGAGAACAACAGUACAGGUGUCGAGAGAUAGUGUCUCUGACCUGGAAAAGCUGCUUGGUGAGUCGAGAGCUUAGUGUUCAAAGUUUGAACCAGAGGUUUCUGUGAUUCGGGGAGAGUUUGAUGAAGCUAAGGAAAGAUAUGAAGAGAAGCUAGCUGAAGAAAGACGAAACAGUGAGGUUUUGGCUAAAGAACUUGCAGUGGAGAAAGAUCUUUUAAAGAAAGCUAGAGACGAGCUUGAGGUCGAAGAAGCAGUUAAGUCAUUAGAUGAGAUGAACAAAAACACAUCGACAUUGACAAAAGAGCUUGAGAAGAUGAAUACUCAUGUUUCCAGUUUGGAGGACGAGAAAGAAGUGCUACAAAGAACACUGGAAGAGGCAAAUAAAGCAUCAAAAGAAGCCAAGGAAAACAUGGAAGGCGCAUAUAGCUUCUUGAUGAGUCUGAGAAAAGAGAGGGGAGUGAUAGAAAAGAAAGUGAAGAAGCUGGAGGAGGACUUGGGAUCUGCAAAGGGAGAGAUACUGCGCAUGAGGAGCCAAUCGAAGAGUGUAAAAGCUGUGAAUAGUACAGAAGAUGAAGAAAAGAGUGAUGAUAAGGUUACUGCAAAGAAAGUUGUCAGGAGGAGAAAGAGCAGUACUAAUUCUUGAGGAGACAAAGGUUAUAAUCACCAGUUCUUGCUCCAGUUAUUAUUUAAAUCUGUGUAAAUUUUGACUAGAGGCAAGUGGCUCCAAUGUUUCAUCAAUGAUGAUAGAAGAUCAGUUCUUUGUAUCAGAAUAUUCAUAGUCUUAAAUUAUGAUUUUUAUAUAGAUAUGUUAAA
This is a long non-coding RNA of Brassica rapa (field mustard), 3405 nucleotides long. RefSeq lists it as uncharacterized. NCBI's taxonomy places the organism in Eukaryota, Viridiplantae, Streptophyta, Magnoliopsida, Brassicales, Brassicaceae. The record is from RefSeq and is a predicted model, not a curated record.